CGGGGCAAUCGCGCGAUAUUAUGCCGAAAGGUCGUAUCGUGAGGAAAGUCCGGGCCUCACAGGGCAGGAUAACGGAUAACGUCCGCCGAGGGCGACCUCCGGGAAAGUGCAACAGAAAGAAACCGCCGUCCGCGUGACGGUAAGGAUGGAAAGGCGAGGUAAGAGCUCACCCGUUUCUAUGGCAACAUAGAUCCGCUGUAAACCCUAUCCGAAGCAACACCCGAUGUUUGCCGCGUAAGCGGCAGCGGUUGCCCGCCGCAAUACAUCCGGUGGCAGAGCGAAAGCUCGAACCGCGGAGUAAUCCGCGGUGAAGAUAGAUGAUUGCCGCGUCGCAAGACGUACAGAACCCGGCUUACAAGUUCGGU
This 365-nucleotide RNase P RNA is filed under the name human gut metagenome. RNAcentral describes it as "Bacterial RNase P class A". It matches the Rfam family "Bacterial RNase P class A". Rfam says of the family: Ribonuclease P (RNase P) is a ubiquitous endoribonuclease, found in archaea, bacteria and eukarya as well as chloroplasts and mitochondria. Its best characterised activity is the generation of mature 5'-ends of tRNAs by cleaving the 5'-leader elements of precursor-tRNAs. The record is from RNAcentral.